UGGAGAGUUUGAUCCUGGCUCAGAUUGAACGCUGGCGGCAGGCCUAACACAUGCAAGUCGAGCGGCAGCGGAAAGUAGCUUGCUACUUUGCCGGCGAGCGGCGGACGGGUGAGUAAUGUCUGGGAAACUGCCUGAUGGAGGGGGAUAACUACUGGAAACGGUAGCUAAUACCGCAUGACCUCGAAAGAGCAAAGUGGGGGAUCUUCGGACCUCACGCCAUCGGAUGUGCCCAGAUGGGAUUAGCUAGUAGGUGAGGUAAUGGCUCACCUAGGCGACGAUCCCUAGCUGGUCUGAGAGGAUGACCAGCCACACUGGAACUGAGACACGGUCCAGACUCCUACGGGAGGCAGCAGUGGGGAAUAUUGCACAAUGGGCGCAAGCCUGAUGCAGCCAUGCCGCGUGUGUGAAGAAGGCCUUAGGGUUGUAAAGCACUUUCAGCGAGGAGGAAGGCAUCAYACUUAAUACGUGUGGUGAUUGACGUUACUCGCAGAAGAAGCACCGGCUAACUCCGUGCCAGCAGCCGCGGUA
RNAcentral lists this ribosomal RNA (528 nucleotides) under Rahnella sp. IR31. RNAcentral describes it as "bacterial SSU rRNA". It matches the Rfam family "Bacterial small subunit ribosomal RNA", at positions 1 to 522 of the family's 1533-position model. RNAcentral also lists the same sequence under 3 other names. The record is from RNAcentral. Lineage: Bacteria; Pseudomonadati; Pseudomonadota; Gammaproteobacteria; Enterobacterales; Yersiniaceae.